RNAcentral lists this microRNA precursor (58 nucleotides) under Petromyzon marinus (sea lamprey). Its description in RNAcentral is "Pma-Mir-26-o2_pre stem-loop". Lineage: Eukaryota; Metazoa; Chordata; Hyperoartia; Petromyzontiformes; Petromyzontidae. The record is from RNAcentral.
UUCAAGUAAUCCAGGAUAGGCUGUGUUACUCGUGGGCCUUUCCUCGGUUGCUUGAUCC